Molecule: non-coding RNA, 62 nt
Organism: Myotis lucifugus (little brown bat)
Lineage: Eukaryota; Metazoa; Chordata; Mammalia; Chiroptera; Vespertilionidae
Source: Rfam
UAGGGAAGUCGGGGUUCGGACCCCCUCCCCGAACCCAGGGUAACUCUUAGAGUGGAGGGGAC